UACGUGGGGAGCAAGCGUUGUUCGGAUUUACUGGGCGUAAAGGGCGCGUAGGCGGCGUGACAAGUCACUUGUGAAAUCUCCGGGCUUAACUCGGAACGGUCAAGUGAUACUGUCGUGCUAGAGUACAGAAGGGGCAACUGGAAUUCUCGGUGUAGCGGUGAAAUGCGUAGAUAUCGAGAGGAACACCUGCGGCGAAGGCGGGUUGCUGGGCUGACACUGACGCUGAAGCGCGAAAGCCAGGGGAGCGAACGGG
RNAcentral lists this ribosomal RNA (253 nucleotides) under uncultured bacterium. RNAcentral's name for it is "partial 16S ribosomal RNA". It matches the Rfam family "Bacterial small subunit ribosomal RNA", at positions 524 to 776 of the family's 1533-position model. The record is from RNAcentral.